This 362-nucleotide ribosomal RNA is filed under the name uncultured marine eukaryote. RNAcentral's name for it is "SSU rRNA". It matches the Rfam family "Eukaryotic small subunit ribosomal RNA", at positions 635 to 1002 of the family's 1831-position model. The record is from RNAcentral.
UGGAUUUCUGUUGAAGUCAGUCGGUGCACACCUCGUGUGUUAUUUGACCUGGCUUUGGCAUCCUCUGGGGGAACGUCUCUGGACUUAAUUGGACAGGGCGAGAUUCCAGACUUUUACUUUGAGGAAAUUAGAGUGUUCACGGCAGGCAAGUGCUUUGAAUACAUUAGCAUGGAAUAAUAAUAUAGGACCUUCGUUCUAUUUUGUUGGUUUCUAGAACUUAGGUAAUGAUUAAUAGGGACAAUUGGGGGCAUUCGUAUUAACGCGUCAGAGGUGGAAUUCUUGGAUUGCGUUACGACGAACUACUGCGAAAGCAUUUGCCAAAGAUGUUUUCAUUGAUCAAGAACGAAAGUAUGGGGAUCGAA